Molecule: long non-coding RNA, 4077 nt
Filed under: Sorghum bicolor (sorghum)
Lineage: Eukaryota; Viridiplantae; Streptophyta; Magnoliopsida; Poales; Poaceae
Description: long non-coding RNA (SBIC_LNC006601)
Source: RNAcentral
UACUACCUCCAUGAUCCCACACGCCUAAUCAUACGAGCUAAAAUGUUACACAUUCAAUCAUUGAGAGAUACAAAGAAAAAGACAUAUACAUAGAUAGAUUAUCUUUCUAUAAGGUUGAGCGAUCUGAUCUGACAAAUGUUAUAAGUGCUACACUCAUAAACUUUUCAUCCAUCAACUUUGUCUUGCUCACUAUGCUUAGGGUUAGAGAAGAACAAAUACACUUUAGGUUCUGUUGGUGUUUUCCACCAACAGGACCCAUGCACUUGAUCUCUGCCUUGUCUCUAUGAGCAGGUACACUUUGAGCAAAACACGGAGGAGUUUUAUAACUCUCAGACUCUACCAAGUGAAGGACCUAGAUCUACGAGCACAAACACACUGAGCAGGUUACUGCCAACGCCGUACUUCGAACUGCUGGGCAAACGAAGAACAUGGGUGACACCGUAUCAAGAGGUGCAGACGUCAAGGUCCGCACCUGAAUCAAAUGACGCACCUGAAGAAUGAACACGGUGAGAAGUCUUGUUAAGAAGACUUAAAAUAUUGAACCCUCGCCGAAAGGUAAGAUCGGUAGUUAUCCAUAUUUAUCCUCUCUGCAUUCCCUUUUCCCUUUAAUUAUUUACUUUCCUUAAAUAGUUUAUUAGUUAAUCAUGCUAUCUUGAAAAGAAAAUAAAAAUGUUAAAAAAUACUAAGCCCCAUGUGAGUAUACGAGUGGCAUAAAACCCAUAAGUACCUUCACUGUGGUGGCAUAAAAAUAAAAUAAAUAUUUCUUUUCUGCUUUAUAAAAUAAAAAUAUAAAAACAGGGAGUAAUAUUUAUUGAGGAAGCUCAACAUGAUGAAGGCUAGAUAUUUAUACUAACACUUAAUUAGUUCCACAAGCUUUGUUGUCUAUUUGAGCUCCACAGAAUUUAAGAAUCAAGAAGACUAGCAGACGGAGGACAUUCUAAUCGCUGUCAGAAUGCUGCUGACUUUCAAAUACACCUCUGCCACCUGCUAACUACAUCAAGAGAAAUUACGUCAAAAUUCAGCUUGGGGGAGAGCACCCUCAUUUAUCUCGCUAAGUAUUUCUACCUAUCUUUAUACUUAUAUUAUAUUAGAAUAUUAAAAUACAUAAACUAUGAAAAACCAAAUAAAGAUUUUGUGCUUAUAUAUAUCUUUUGCUUAGUGUGUUUAAUAAAUAAAUAAAGUGGCUAUGCUAAUCUGAAUCUUAAUAAUAAAACUCUAGCAUGGAUAUGAUGAAUAGUUGCUCUGUCUAAUUUGCAAAUUUGAAGUUCUCUCUCAAGUUUAGACAUAACUGUUAUAAUUUAAAGCUUGCUCUAGAUCUAAACUUGUGCGAUAAAAACUUGAUCUGAAAUCUAAGUUGUUAACGGAUAUGAUAUGGGAAGGUUGAGCUGUUGUUUAUCUGUUCUUAGAGAUGCUAGAAUUCUGGAGAAUUUUAUCUUUGAAAAAUCUUUAAAAUAUUGCAUGAUGAGUUCCUGUAUGAUGAAAGUUUAAAUUCCUACCACAGUCAUAUAUACAUGCUUGCUAGACUUUGAGCCACACAUUUACUAUUUACUACUUAUGAGCAUUGUCGACUUAAGUUAUCUUUUUCCUUUCAAUUAUUUAAAAUAGUUUGCUUAGUUAAUCAAGUUCAUGCUAUCUUGAAAAGAAAAUAAAAAUGUUAAAAAUAGUAAGCCCCAUGUAAGUAUGCUCAUGACAUAAAACCCAUAAGUACAUUCACUGAGGUGGCGGAAAAAUAAAAUAAAUAUAUUCCUGUCCCAUAAAUAUGAAAAUAUAAAAAUAAGAUUGUGAUCCUACUAAAGAGUGUAACAUUAAUUGAGGAGGCUCAACAUGAUAAAGGCUAGAUAUUUAUGCUAACACUCAACUAGUUCCACAAAGCUUUGUUGUCUAUUUGAGCUCCACAGAAUUCAAGGAUCAGAGAAGACUAGCAGACGGAGGACAUCCUAAUCGCUGUCAGGGUGCUGCCGACAUUCACCACCUGCUAGUUACAUCAGAAGAAAUGGCAUCAAAAUCCAGCUUGGGGGAGAGCACCCCCAUUUAUCGAGCUAAGUGUUCUACUCACGUUUAUAUUUCACUCAAAUAAUAAAAAGAUGCAUAAUCAUAAAAACCCAAAUAAAGAUUUUGUGCUUAUAUAUAUCUUUGCUUAGUUUGCUAAAUAAAUAAAUAAAUAAAGUUUGCUAUGAACCCUCAUGAUAAGCUCUCACAUGGAAAUGAUGAAUAGUUGCUCUGCCAUGACUAGUUCUCAAAAUUGAAAUCUCUCUCAAGUUUAGGAAUGACUGGUAUUAAUUAAGUUUUUUCUAAACCUAAACUUGUGGAAAGAGUACUUGAUCUAAAGUCUAAGACGUUAACGGAUAUGAUAUGGGAAGGUUGAGCUGCUGUUUAUCUGUUCCUAGAGAUGCUAGAAUUCUGGAGAAUUUUAUCUUUCAAAAUCUUUAAAAUGUUGCAUGAUGAGUUCCUGUAUGACGAGAGUUUAAAAUCCUACCACAGCCAUAUAUACAUGCUUGCUAGACUUUGAACCAUACAUUUACUUUGUACUGCUUAUGAGCAUUGAGUGUGGUCAAGCUGUGUAGACCCUUAGGAUCUUGUCAUGUGGUUAAAAUCAAGAUUCACUUGCACAUUCACUCAUACAUGCUGCUUCUACUCUGGAAGUACGCAUCCACAUAUAUCCACCCAUUUCCAUCUCCAGAACUACCCAAAAAUAUUCUACUCCUAAUCCGGGAGAGAAUAGCCAAAAAUAUUUCUGUUUUUCCCCUGUGAAAAAAAUGCUCAAGAUAUUUUGGUUACUACCACUUGCUACAUUAUUCUAGGAGGAUGAGUGCUCUGAAAAAAAGUGAAUAUGAGGAAAUAAAAAGGGGCAAGUGCCCGGAACCUCGAAAGAAAACAAAAAGUGAGACGAGAGGUAAAAAUGGACAAGUGUCCGACAGUAGAAUUAGGGGUACAAGAUACACACCUGAGAGAAAAGAAAAAAAGAAAAGAAAAUAUAGAGCAUCUCAUUCCCCUCAAAAAGUUUCAAAAGAGCAAGAAAGGUAUGUAUCCCCUCAAAAGAGCACAAGUAGAAUUAGACUUUCACCAUUGUUAUCACCAUCAUUACCAUGCACCAUUCAUUCGCCACACAUGCACAUCUUGAUUUGACUUAUUGACUUGUUCUUCUGGAUCCAUGGUUUGACUAUGCAAUAAAUAUCUUGUAAGUAUGUAUUAGCUGUCUCCCACCUAUGAGCUCCAGAUAUCAAAAUCUUAUUAAAGUAGGGUGAGAGAGAAGGCAAUGCCACUAUGCCUCAUACCAAUAAUACCACAUACUUUGAGAGAAGGCAUACACCAUUACUGCCUUGGUAAGGAUUCAGAAAUACCACAAAAGAGAGACUAGAGAGAGUCAUACAAGGAAUCUCUGAGUUUUAUUUGAAAAUCUACAAAAAAAACUCCAGAGGUAUAGUUAAUCGAAGAACAAGAGACAUGGCGCUUGACUAGACCGUUCUAUCUUUUAACUGCUCAAGACACAGGUGAUGGUUACAAGCCCCAUGGUGGAAGGUAAAAUGAGUAAGUUUGAAGUCUUAACAGUUUACCCUAACUCAGAGAUGAGAUCUUGUGUAAACGCAUGUGUACCUUUAAGGCAUGAAACCACUGCAGAAACUCUUGAGUCCAUCUUUGCUCAGGGACGAGCAAAGGUUAAGCUUGGGGGAGUUUGUUGACGGUCCUUAAUGCUCACAUUUAACCAUCAACUAAUCAUGAAAAGGAUCCAAAUGCAACUAACACCUAGACUUAGGGUUUUAUCUGAUAGAAUUCCACGAGUUUUGGUGUUUGUCUAUUUCUGCAGGGGGUUAUCAGGAAAUAUGGAGGAAAGGCCCACACGUCGGGUUUACAUAGAGAUAUUAACGUGCCGCGCAAUUUUCUAUCAUCUAGAAGACUCUAGAAGCCACGGAACCGGAGCGGAGGCCGAGAGGACUCAGGGAUAGGGCGCCCGCCCUACUCUCCUGGGCGCCCGCCCUCACAUAGAGUCCAAUCAGGACUCUCUUUCGGGAUAUUGUUCCACCGACCUAAAGGAUCAAGGAUAACCGUUCAAUCAAUGUCGGUUUGAUCCAACGGCCC